CCCAGAAUGGUUUGGGUUGGAAAGAACCCUAAAGCCCAUCCAGUGCCACCCCUGCCAUGGACAGGGACACCUUCCACUGUCCCAGGCUGUUCCAAGCCCCAGUUUCCACCUGGCCUCAGGCACUGCCAGGGAUGCAGGGGCAACCACAGCUGCUCUGGGCACCCUGUGCCGGUGUCCCAGAGCAGCCCUGUGCUCUGGCACUUCCUUCCUGCCUUGUUCUGCUGCACAGCCCAGGUGGCUGAAGCCUUCUGGCACUCUAAACACAGUCCCUGUGCCUGGGGCAGUGUCACAGGGCUCUGUCCUCUUACACUGCCCUGGUGCAUCAGUGUCCUGGGCUGUGUGCCAGUGCAGCUCCUCGCUGCCGGAGCAUCACCCACACCCUGGGGGUGUCCUCAGACAUGUCUCACUGUCCUGAGGGGCUGUCUGGGUGCACCUAUCCUGCUGUCCCUGUGUCCUGUUUCACUGCCCUGUGCACUGUCCCUGUCCUGUCUCACGUUGUCCCACUGUCCCUGUGCACUGUCAUUGUCCUGGUUCACUAUCCCUGUGCACUGUCCCACUGUCCUGCUGUCCAUGUGCCGCUGUCCCUGUCCCUCUGUCCUGUCCUGCUGUCCCUGUCCUUGUCCCUGUCCUGGUCCAACUCUCCCUGCCCCAUUAUCCCUGUCCCACUGUCCCUGUCCUUGUCCCUCUGUCCCUAUCUGUGUCCCUGUCCCCCUGACCCUGUCCCUGUCCCACUGUCCCUGUCCCUGUUCACCUGUCCCUGUGCCAUUGUCCCACUGUCUCUAUCCUGCUCUCCCUGUCCCUUUGUCCCUAUCCCUCUGUCCCUGUCCCUCUGUCCCUGUCCUCCUGACCCUGUCCCUGUCCCUGUCCCCCUGAUCCUGUCCCUGUCCCUUUCCCUCUGUUCCUGUCCCUGUCCCUGUCCCUGCCUCUGUCUCACUGUCCCUGUCCCUCUGCCUGUGCCUGUCCCUGGCCCUCUGUCCCUGUCCUUGUUCCUGUCGCUCUGUCCCUGUCCCUUUCCCUUUCCCUCUGUCCCUGUCCCUGUCCCUGUCCCUGUCCCUGUCCCUGUCCCCCUGUCCCUGUCCCUGUCCCUGUCCCUUUCCGUGCCCCUAUCCGAGUCCCUGUCCCUGUCCCUGUCCCUGUCCCCGUCCCGGGGGGGGGGGGGGGGGGGGGGGGGGGGGGGGGGGGGGGGGGGGGGGGGGGGGGGGGGGGGGGGGGGGGGGGGGGGGGGGGGGGGGGGGGGGGG
Molecule: long non-coding RNA, 1240 nt
Filed under: Ficedula albicollis (Collared flycatcher)
Lineage: Eukaryota; Metazoa; Chordata; Aves; Passeriformes; Muscicapidae
Description: lncRNA (ENSFALG00000026468.1)
Source: RNAcentral